Molecule: ribosomal RNA, 397 nt
Filed under: uncultured bacterium
Lineage: Bacteria
Description: partial 16S ribosomal RNA
Rfam family: Bacterial small subunit ribosomal RNA
Source: RNAcentral
AUACGUAGGGGGCGAGCGUUGUCCGGAAUGAUUGGGCGUAAAGGGCGCGUAGGCGGCCCGGUAAGUCUGGAGUGAAAGCCCUGUUUUUAAGAUGGGAAUUGCUUUGGAUACUGUCGGGCUUGAGUGCAGGAGAGGGAAGUGGAAUUCCCAGUGUAGCGGUGAAAUGCGUAGAGAUUGGGAGGAACACCAGUGGCGAAGGCGACUUUCUGGACUGUAACUGACGCUCAGGCGCGAAAGUGUGGGGAGCAAACAGGAUUAGAUACCCUGGUAGUCCACACUGUAAACGAUGAAUGCUAGGUGUAGGGGGUAUCGACCCUUUCUGUGCCGCAGGCAACACAAUAAGCGUUCCGCCUGGGGAGUACGGUCGCAAGGUUGAAACUUAAAGGAAUUGACGGGG